This 842-nucleotide ribosomal RNA is filed under the name uncultured bacterium. Its description in RNAcentral is "bacterial SSU rRNA". It matches the Rfam family "Bacterial small subunit ribosomal RNA", at positions 9 to 834 of the family's 1533-position model. The record is from RNAcentral.
GAGUUUGAUCCUGGCUCAGGACGAACGCUGGCGGUGUGCUUAACACAUGCAAGUCAACGAGAAUUUAUCUUCGGAUAAUAGUAAAGUGGCGAACGGGUGAGUAACGCGUAAAUAACUUGCCUUGGAGAUUGGGACAACAUUGGGAAACCAGUGCUAAUACCAAAUAAUGCAGCGGGCCCUUCGGGGCAUAGUUGUUAAAGUAGGCUUCGGCUUACACUUCAAGAUAGAUUUGCGUCCGAUUAGUUAGUUGGUAGGGUAAUAGCCUACCAAGACUGAGAUCGGUAGCUGGUCUGAGAGGAUGAUCAGCCACACUGGAAUUGAGAUACGGUCCAGACUCCUACGGGAGGCAGCAGUGAGGAAUUUUGCACAAUGGGCGAAAGCCUGAUGCAGCAACACCGCGUGAUUGAUGAAGUUUUUAGGAAUGUAAAAAUCUGUCGUAAGGGAAGAAAUGUUUCGGAUGUUAAUACCAUCUGUUACUGACGGUACCUUACAAGAAAGGACCGGCUAACUUCGUGCCAGCAGCCGCGGUAAUACGAGGGGUCCUAGCGUUGUCCGGAUUUACUGGGCGUAAAGGGUGCGUAGGCGUUUUAAUAAGUUGUAUGUUAAAUAUCUUAGCUUAACUAAGAAAGUGCAUACAAAACUGUUAAGAUAGAGUUUGAGAGAGGAACGCAGAAUUCAUGGUGGAGCGGUGACAUGCGUAGAUAUCAUGAGGAAAGUCAAAUGCGAAGGCAGCCUUCUGGCUCAAAACUGACGCUGAGGUACGAAAGCGUGGGGAGCGAACAGGAUUAGAUACCCUGGUAGUCCACGCCGUAAACGAUGAGUAUUUGGUGCUGGGGGGAUUC